UUGUAUUACAUCUGGCCAUCCUGUGAAGCUGCUGGUCAGCAGAUGACAUUAAGAUAACCUUCCUAAAACAUGAGAGCAUAAAAAAAGAUGAUGAUCAGGAAAUGUAAUCAGUCUCUACAUCUCUACAAUCCACUGGGUUUGUGAAGCAGAGAGAGAGACAGAGAGAGACAGAGACAGAGAGAGACUAACCCAGGACAGCAAUUGUUUAUAUUGAGAAAGGAAGCAGGGAGACAUACUAUACCUUCACUAUCAUCAGAUCUUUCAUGCAUUUUGCCAUAUGUCAGCCUCACAACAAAGCUGCAAAGUGCUGGAAAAAAAAACAACACAAAGCUGAACUGAAGCAAAAGAAAACUCCCCUUAUUUCAUCAUUUUAUCUGUUCUCUAAUGAGAAACCUCAGAAAAAGAUUAAAAGAAAGGUCACCUUUUAUUGAGCAGAAGGAAAUGUAUGCAGAUAGUUGAUAUUCUGGACUGCUUAUAAAAUGAACUCAAAUCUGGAGCCAUCAACCUCAGUAAUAACUCAUUUCUUACAAUAAGCGGACAAUGGCUGACGAGUAGUGGAGAACAUUUAACUUAUGGAACAUCUGCUAUGCUUGGUGUUGGUACAAUUUGGUUGUUUUAAAGAACAUUGAUCUAAAUUGAGAAACAAUUUCAACUGAUUAUGAGAAAAACUGGGAGAUGCACUUAAACUGAGCUUAUCUAUGUCUUCCUAGAUAAGGUCCAAGGAAAAAAUUUCAAGGCACACAUGCUAUUCUAAAUGGAUAAUACCAGUAUUAGAGAUCCAGGUUAUAAAAUAUGCAGGGAGACAAUCACAGCACAUUUCUGUUUUAAAUAAAGGCCAAGAGCUCCAGGGCAAAUAUGAAGAGAAGGAUAAGUAAAAUGAAAGAAUAGCUAAAGUUUUUUAGGACUCUACAUAGAUUAGACAUUGUCAUGUGCAGUACCUUGGGUCACAAAUGCUUUUGGGUCAUGAACAAAAGCAUUUGGCAAAUUUUUGUUUUUGUUUACAAACUCUACAUUGGGUGACAAACCCACGAGCGUGGCCAUCUUUUCCAAAGUCAUGGGGCAAAUGAAGUUUGUGAAUUGAGGUACUACAGUACUUAUUUUAUCUAAUUCUCACAGCAGUCCUAAGACAUAGGGUUCAAAGAUGGACCAGCUAAGUCUUAGAAUUUACAACUUGUCUUUUUUACACAACAAUAACUGCUGAAUCAAGAUUCUAAGUUGUUAAUUUAAUAAGUGGUACCAACUCUUCAGAGAAGAAUUAUCCCAGCCUUCUCUGCUACUCAAGCAGCUCCUCUUCCAAUUGUUGCCUUUUCAUUCACAUUAUUCUUCUCCAAAGCCAUCCUCUAGCUAGACUCACAAAAUCCUUCUCCCACCUGUGGAACAGUUCUGGACC
Heterocephalus glaber (naked mole-rat) is the source of this 1390-nucleotide long non-coding RNA. RefSeq lists it as uncharacterized. The record is from RefSeq and is a predicted model, not a curated record. Lineage: Eukaryota; Metazoa; Chordata; Mammalia; Rodentia; Bathyergidae.